CUCACGGAGAAUCCAGGCUCUCAUCCGUUUAAUGAGAUCUUAUACUGCAAUAUUGGGAAUCCUCAUUCCCUGGGUCAGAAGCCUAUUACUUUCUUUAGGGAGGUCCUUGCGUUAUGUGACCAUCCACUUCUUUUGGACAGAAGUGAAACAAAAGCUCUGUUCAGGUA
Solanum verrucosum is the source of this 167-nucleotide long non-coding RNA. RefSeq lists it as uncharacterized. Lineage: Eukaryota; Viridiplantae; Streptophyta; Magnoliopsida; Solanales; Solanaceae. The transcript has 3 exons. The record is from RefSeq and is a predicted model, not a curated record.